RNAcentral lists this ribosomal RNA (492 nucleotides) under uncultured bacterium. RNAcentral describes it as "partial 16S ribosomal RNA". It matches the Rfam family "Bacterial small subunit ribosomal RNA", at positions 29 to 507 of the family's 1533-position model. The record is from RNAcentral.
AGUGAACGCUGGCGGUAGGCCUAACACAUGCAAGUCGAACGGCAGCACAGUAAGAGCUUGCUCUUACGGGUGGCGAGUGGCGGACGGGUGAGGAAUACAUCGGAAUCUACUUUUUCGUGGGGGAUAACGUAGGGAAACUUACGCUAAUACCGCAUACGACCUACGGGUGAAAGCAGGGGAUCUUCGGACCUUGCGCGAUUGAAUGAGCCGAUGUCGGAUUAGCUAGUUGGCGGGGUAAAGGCCCACCAAGGCGACGAUCCGUAGCUGGUCUGAGAGGAUGAUCAGCCACACUGGAACGUGGACACGGUCCAGACUCCUACGGGAGGCAGCAGUGGGGAAUAUUGGACAAUGGGCGCAAGCCUGGUCCAGCCAUACCGCGUGGGUGAAGAAGGCCUUCGGGUUGUAAAGCCCUUUUGUUGGGAAAGAAAAGCAGCAGGUUAAUACCCCGCUGUUCUGACGGUACCCAAAGAAUAAGCACCGGCUAACUUCGUG